UGGGGCCAGCGACGGUCGCCCCGCCCUUGCAAGGCUUGCGAGCCCAAGCACCGU
RNAcentral lists this non-coding RNA (54 nucleotides) under unclassified sequences. The record is from RNAcentral.